GAUGAACGCUGGCGGCGUGCCUAAUACAUGCAAGUCGAGCGAACGGACGAGAAGCUUGCUUCUCUGAUGUUAGCGGCGGGCGGGUGAGUAACACGUGGAUAACCUACCUAUAAGACUGGGAUAACUUCGGGAAACCGGAGCUAAUACCGGAUGAUAUUUUGAACCGCAUGGUUCAAAAGUGAAAGACGGUCUUGCUGUCACUUAUAGAUGGAUCCGCGCUGCAUUAGCUAGUUGGUAAGGUAACGGCUUACCAAGGCAACGAUGCAUAGCCGACCUGAGAGGGUGAUCGGCCACACUGGAACUGAGACACGGUCCAGACUCCUACGGGAGGCAGCAGUAGGGAAUCUUCCGCAAUGGGCGAAAGCCUGACGUAGCAACGCCGCGUGAGUGAUGAAGGUCUUCGGAUCGUAAAACUCUGUUAUUAGGGAAGAACAUAUGUGUAAGUAACUGUGCACAUCUUGACGGUACCUAAUCAGAAAGCCACGGCUAACUACGUG
This 497-nucleotide ribosomal RNA is filed under the name uncultured bacterium. Its description in RNAcentral is "partial 16S ribosomal RNA". It matches the Rfam family "Bacterial small subunit ribosomal RNA", at positions 28 to 507 of the family's 1533-position model. The record is from RNAcentral.